RNAcentral lists this ribosomal RNA (465 nucleotides) under Vreelandella stevensii. RNAcentral's name for it is "partial 16S ribosomal RNA". It matches the Rfam family "Bacterial small subunit ribosomal RNA", at positions 338 to 795 of the family's 1533-position model. The record is from RNAcentral. Lineage: Bacteria; Pseudomonadati; Pseudomonadota; Gammaproteobacteria; Oceanospirillales; Halomonadaceae.
CCUACGGGUGGCAGCAGUGGGGAAUAUUGGACAAUGGGGGCAACCCUGAUCCAGCCAUGCCGCGUGUGUGAAGAAGGCCCUCGGUUUGUAAAGCACUUUCAGUGAGGAAGAACGCCUGGUGGUUAAUACCCAUCAGGAAAGACAUCACUCACAGAAGAAGCACCGGCUAACUCCGUGCCAGCAGCCGCGGUAAUACGGAGGGUGCGAGCGUUAAUCGGAAUUACUGGGCGUAAAGCGCGCGUAGGUGGCUUGAUAAGCCGGUUGUGAAAGCCCCGGGCUCAACCUGGGAACGGCAUCCGGAACUGUCAAGCUAGAGUGCAGGAGAGGAAGGUAGAAUUCCCGGUGUAGCGGUGAAAUGCGUAGAGAUCGGGAGGAAUACCAGUGGCGAAGGCGGCCUUCUGGACUGACACUGACACUGAGGUGCGAAAGCGUGGGUAGCAAACAGGAUUAGAUACCCCUGUAGUC